This 651-nucleotide ribosomal RNA is filed under the name Choerophryne sp. SJR9924. RNAcentral's name for it is "partial 16S ribosomal RNA". The stretch from base 1 to 455 matches the Rfam family "Bacterial large subunit ribosomal RNA", at positions 604 to 1301 of the family's 2925-position model. Lineage: Eukaryota; Metazoa; Chordata; Amphibia; Anura; Microhylidae. The record is from RNAcentral.
CCUUUUGCAUCAUGGUCUAACUAGUUUAACCAAGCAAAACGAAUUUUUAGUUUGACCCCCCGAAACUAAGCGAGCUACUUCAAAACAGCCCCGCGGGCCAACCCAUCUCUGUUGCAAAAGAGUGGGAAGAUUUUCAAGUAGAGGUGACACACCUACCGAGCCUAGAGAUAGCUGGUUAUUCAGGAAAAGGAUCUAGUCCAAUUUUAAACCUAAACUUACCCUAAAGUAUGCCCCCAGGUUUAAAGUUUAUUCAAAUAAGGUACAGCCUAUUUGAAACAGGAUACAACCUAUGAUGCAGGGUAAUGUUAAAUCAUGUGACAAAGUAGGCCUAAAAGCAGCCACCUUACAAAAAGCGUUAUAGCUUCAUCACACACUACAUCAAUUCCAAUCAAAAUCCAAAGCCCUCCCCCCCGUACUGAAUGACCCCAUAUUUAUAUGGGAGACCCUAUGUUAGAACUAGUAACAAGAGUAAAUUCUCCAAUAAGCACGUGUAAGCCGGAAUGAACUAUUCACCGGCACUUACCGUCAAUGAAUUAAUAGUAGCAACAAUACAAGAAAACCCUACUUUACCCAAACGUCAACCUUACACUAGAGCUUUUCAGGAAUGAUUAAAAAAAGAGGAAGGAACUCGGCAAAUAGUAACCCCGCCUG